RNAcentral lists this transfer RNA (86 nucleotides) under Arachidicoccus ginsenosidimutans. RNAcentral describes it as "Arachidicoccus sp. BS20 tRNA". It matches the Rfam family "tRNA". From Rfam's summary of the family: Transfer RNA (tRNA) molecules are approximately 80 nucleotides in length. Their secondary structure includes four short double-helical elements and three loops (D, anti-codon, and T loops). Lineage: Bacteria; Pseudomonadati; Bacteroidota; Chitinophagia; Chitinophagales; Chitinophagaceae. The record is from Rfam by way of RNAcentral.
GGAGAGUUGGCAGAGUGGUUAAUUGCAAUUGUCUGCUAAACAAUUGUCGUUUAUUCGGCGCAGUGGUUCGAAUCCACUACUCUCCG